ACAAAAUAUAGGACCAAGGUAAGCAAACUCCCUUGCUCUGAACAAGGAUUGAGGAAGGAAAUGGUAGGAGAAAUUCAUAAUGUAGAAAUGCAUUAGCUGCUUCUCACUGCUUAUAGCAAAGUCCCACAAAAGAGAUGGACAUGGGUGACAGCUGGCCAGGGCAGGUGUGGCAUGAAAGAGAGAGCUGGCUGGAAACAAAUAGAUCAGAAAUCUUUACGUUUCUGAAAAAAUGCUUUGCCAAAGAAGCCACAGCAUGGUCUGAAAAAGCCUGCGAUUGUUCAACCCCAAAGCAAUCCCUGAAAACAAGGAGCAAGCUGUGAAAACCAUGCAGGUCCCAGGAAGGGCAUCCCCUCCGGUACCCACGCCGGUCAGCUGUGGCAGGGGAGACAACAGCAAGCACGCAGAACCCCCUAGGAUUCUGUGGCACAAUGAAUUCACAUGCCUGGAGAGGCGGUGUUACCAGGAUGCUUGUGUCAACCAAGAUGGUGCUGUGUCUGGCCAUCAGGAGGAUCCACACAUAGAUCUGAACCCAUGAAGGAGGCCUUCACCAGGGAAAGUUCGUCUACAUGGAAUCUUUAGCGUUCUCAGAGCCCAGAGGCAGGCACAGGCCCACAAUGGGACACGUGGUCUGAAAAAGGGUCCGGCUCCUGGCUCUGCAGGGCUCUGCCACCCCCUUGCUGGAGACUUCCCUAGUCUGGGCAUCAGCAUCUACUUGUAAGACUGAGGGUUCAUUCUGGUGGAUGGUUUUCCCACCUGAGUUCCCCAGAGUCUCAGCAUUUUCAGGGACAUCAGUGUGACCCAGAAUCAACUAUGGCAGAGGAACUUUGCUUUGCGAGAUAUGCAAGGUUCUUUGGAAGAAAGUCUGAGGGAGAGCAGGAAGGGGACAGGUGAGAGGGCUGCAUGAUUCCUGCCUUCACUCUGGGUGUUCAUCAGGGGCCGGGAGGUAAGCACUGUCUUUGUAUUUUCACCUUCCGGAUCUAUCUUUUUGAAGAUUUUAUUUUCCACUUUGGAAGCAUAUUAACUUAAUCUAUCAUGUGAUUUGUAAAUCAAUACCCCCAACAGACAGCUGUCUGCUUCUCUUAGCAUUUUUUUUUUUUUUUUUUUGCGGUAUGCGGGCCUCUCACUGUUGUGGCCUCUCCCGCUGCGGAGCACAGGCUCCGGACGCGCAGGCUCAGCGGCCAUGGCUCACGGGCCCAGCCGCUCCGCAGCAUGUGGGAUCUUCCCAGACCGGGACACGAACCCAUGUCUCCUGCAUCGGCAGGUGGACUCUCAACCACUGCAACACCAGGGAAGACCCUCUUAGCUUUUAAUAACAUUGGUGACAUGGAGUGGAAGACUUGACUCAUUCUAUAAGUCAGUUUUUAAUAUGGAACAAACACUGAGUUGUUCCUCAAAAGCCGUACAGGCUAAGAACAAUUUAAAAAUAAUUUAACAGUAUUAUAAUUCAAUAACUAUAAUUAUUAAAAUGCUACCAUAUAGGCCUGAGUGUUGCAAUGAAUGGGAGAAGUUGGAAUGAGAAAUUAACCCUGAAAUUAAUUUCUAUGUUAGUCAGGGAAGUUAGUGCAAGCAGCUUUAACAGAUAAAUCCACAAAUUCCAUUAACCCAACAAAGGUUUAUUUCUCAUGUAGGCAAAAGCCAGUAACUGUACAAUCUGGGCCUCCAAGUUUGCUGCGGCAGGGAAAAGAUGAAGAAAUCACAGUGGCUCUUAAAUUCUAUUGGCCAGAACUUAAGGGAGGCUGUGAGACGGAGAGGAACACAUGGAUGCUGAAAGCACAUUCCCUCUCCACCACCGUGAGAUGGAUUUCUAUUCUUGUGUUUGUUAGUCAGAAACUAAACUUGAGACUCUGAUUGAUUGAUUGAUUUAAACAACACAAUCUAAUUCAAUCUUUUUUUUCGUUUUUUAAAAUUUAUUUAUUUAUUUUUGGCUGCGUUGGGUCUUCGUUGCUGCGCACGGGCUUUUCUCUAGUUGUGGCGAGCAGGGGCUGCUCUUUGUUGCAGUGGGCAGGCUUCUCAUUGCGGUGGCUUUUCUUGUUGCAGAGCACGGGCUCUAGAGUACACGGCUUCAGUAGCUGUGGCUCGCAGGCUCUAGGGCACAGGCUCAAUAGUUGUGGCGCACGGGCUUAGUUGCCCCGUGGCAUGUGGGAUCUUCCCGGACCAGGGCUCGAACUCAUGUCCCCUGCGUUGGCAGGUGUAUUCUCAACCACUGCGCCACCAGGGAAGCCCCUGAUUUAUUUUUUUGGCCACGCCGCACGGCUUAUGGGAUUUUUGUUCCCUGACCAGGGAUCGAACCCGGGCCCUUGGCAGUGAGAGUGUGGAGUCCUAACCACGGGACUGCCAGGGAAUUGCUGGCAGAUUUAGAUGGUGGAAUUAUGAAGAACUUGAAUGUAGCCCUAACAUAUUUCCAACCCUGGUGUCCCACAGAGGAUGAAAACACUGUGUAUGGAAGACAUACUGUAGGUGUUUAGAACAUCUGCUGUGGUUUGGGAAAAGGCCAGGGCUUGAAAUCAGCUCCAUCAUUCACCUCCUUUAUGAUUAAGUUUAUUCAACACUUUGAGCCUUCGUUACUUUGUCUGUAAAGUGAGGAAAACAAUAAUCCCUCUCUUGUAGGUUUUCGAGAAAUCAUUGGUAUCACCAUCAUCAACAUUCUCAUCACCAUUACUACCACCAGCUUCACCAUCACCAUCAUUAUCACCACCAUCACUGUCACCAUCACUAUCAUCACCACCACCACCACCACCACCGUCUCCACCAUCACCACUGUCAUCACCAUCAUCACCAACACCACCACCAAGAUCAUCAUAAUCACUUAUUAUUUAGACACCACAUUCCCAUGGAAGGGUCUCUAAAUGCUAACUUCUAACUCCUAUUGCCGUAGCUUCAGAGAGAACUCCACUGUAAGUUUAAGCAGUGGUGUGUACAGUGUGAGGGUAAUGGGAAAAUGUGAGGUGAGCUGGGGACUUUGCAUCUGUGGAAGCAUCUACAGAUUCUCAGUGGUCAUUCAGCUUCUGAGCACUGUCCCUACGAAGAAAUAGGCUAGUUCUGAAACAAUCACACUGAGGGCUUGCAUAAAUACAGGUUCUAGAUCUAACUUAGGAAGUCUGGCUACAGGUCUGGGAACCUGUAUUUUAAAUAAGAUUGUUAGUAGCUCUUGAAUAAGUUGUGGAUUAUUGUUUAAGUUCAGCCUGUAUACAGACUGCAUCCAUUCAUGUGUUCAUGCAUUCGACGAAUAUUUAUUGAGCACUGAUUAAGGCCUAUGUUAAACAUUUCCCUACGUUAUUUCUCACAUUCUGUUAUCACCCUCGUUUUGUAGAUGAGGGAGGUAGACUUGGGGACAACAGACGAGUAACUUGCCCAGGGCCACAUAGCCAGGAAGUGAACAGGGGACAUUUGAGUCCAGAGCUCACAUUCCUUAUCACCCCUUAACAAAAAGGGGUCUUUGCAAGGAGCCAGCAGAGCAUAAUAGGCAGUAAAAUUGUCAGGCCACCCCAGGGCUAAGGAGAAUGUAGUGGGGGUCAUGUGUCUGUUCUCGGAGGUUAGGGCCUUGGAAAUGGCUUCCUGGAGCAGGUGUCAGUUAUCCAGGUGGGCAAGAGGUGUGUGUGUGUGUGUGUGUGUGUGUGUGUGUGUGUGAGAGAGAGAGAGAGAGAGAGAGAGAGAGAGAGAGAGAGAGAGAAAGAGAGAGAGAGGGAGAGAGAGAGGGAGAGAGAGAAAACAUGGCAGAGGAAAUAACAUAUGCCAAGGCCUGGCAAUAAAUAUUUUUUCCUGCGUGAACCGUGGGAACUGCGCUAUAGUGGUGUUUCUAGAGUGUGAUUUCCUCUCCACUGGUUUCAUUACUGCUUAUCAGAGGCACACAGAAGAGUUUCUUUUUCUCUUCCUACAAAUUUUAAUAGAAGUUCCUUUAAAGCAUUGUAGGAAGAAAAAGAAUAACUAGCAUGUCAAACCCAUGAAAUUAUAUAUGGUAGUUCUUGGGAUGCAGCUAAAAUUAAUAUACUGGUUAAGAAAGUGCAUGAGUAGCAAUAACAUUACAGAGUAUGAGAGGGAAGGUAAAAACAGUGAAGGUGGAAAGCCCAGGAGCGCUGAAGAUUCAGGAACCCUGGGCCGGAGGGUGUUUCUGUCCGUUCCAGCUUAGAAGCUCUACACUUGAAGUUUGUCCUGAGUGCGAAUGGCUCUUUUGUCAGUAAUGUCACAUUCUUCUCGGUGGGGGCAACGGCGUCCCUGCUGCUGUUAACCAUGAAGGGAUGAUUUGUUCCCAGUAUUAGGACCUGCAGGGCCAAAGUCUGUCCUCGGAAUGGUCAGGAGGAGCUUUGAGCU
Long non-coding RNA from Orcinus orca (killer whale), 4308 nucleotides. RefSeq lists it as uncharacterized. NCBI's taxonomy places the organism in Eukaryota, Metazoa, Chordata, Mammalia, Artiodactyla, Delphinidae. The record is from RefSeq and is a predicted model, not a curated record. The transcript has 6 exons.